CGGCGGUCGGGUGAGUAACGCGUGGGUAACCUGCCUCAUACAGGGGGAUAACAGUUAGAAAUGGCUGCUAAUACCGCAUAAGACCACAGUACUGCAUGGUACAGUGGUAAAAACUCCGGUGGUAUGAGAUGGACCCGCGUCUGAUUAGGUAGUUGGUGAGGUAACGGCCCACCAAGCCGACGAUCAGUAGCCGACCUGAGAGGGUGACCGGCCACAUUGGGACUGAGACACGGUCCAA
RNAcentral lists this ribosomal RNA (238 nucleotides) under uncultured bacterium. RNAcentral describes it as "partial 16S ribosomal RNA". It matches the Rfam family "Bacterial small subunit ribosomal RNA", at positions 96 to 334 of the family's 1533-position model. The record is from RNAcentral.